RNAcentral lists this ribosomal RNA (508 nucleotides) under uncultured bacterium. RNAcentral describes it as "bacterial SSU rRNA". It matches the Rfam family "Bacterial small subunit ribosomal RNA", at positions 28 to 537 of the family's 1533-position model. The record is from RNAcentral.
GAUGAACGCUGGCGGCGUGCCUCAAACAUGCAAGUCGAGCGAGGCUAUGAAUUACCGCAAGGUAAGGCAUAGCCUAGCGGCGAACGGGGAGUAACACGUGGGUAACCUACCUGGAAGACAGGGAUAACGAUUCGAAAGGGUCGCUAAUACCUGAUAAUAUCCAUCUGCCGGAUGGCGGAGGGAAGAAAGGGGAAACCCGCUUUCAGAUGGGCCCGCGUCCCAUCAGCUAGUUGGUAAGGUAAAGGCUUACCAAGGCGACGACGGGUAGCCGGUCUGAGAGGAUGUACGGCCACACUGGGACUGAGAUACGGCCCAGACUCCUACGGGAGGCAGCAGUUGGGAAUCUUAGGCAAUGGACGAAAGUCUGACCUAGCGACGCCGCGUGAGGGAAGAAGGCCUCGGUUGGUAACUACUGUCAUGGGGAAGGAAGGAAGGUAGAGGUACCCGAACGAAGGAAGACCCCGCUAACUAACGUAGCCAGCAGCCGCCGGUAAAAGGUAGUAGUGUA